GGAAAAGAAACCAACAGGGAUUACCUCAGUAACGGCGAGUGAAGCGGUAAAAGCUCAAAUUUGAAAUCUGGCUCUUUCAGAGUCCGAGUUGUAAUUUGUAGAAGAUGCUUCGGGUGUGGUUCCGGUCUAAGUUCCUUGGAACAGGACGUCAUAGAGGGUGAGAAUCCCGUAUGUGACUGGAUACCUACGCUCAUGUGAAGCUCUUUCGACGAGUCGAGUUGUUUGGGAAUGCAGCUCAAAAUGGGUGGUAUAUUUCAUCUAAAGCUAAAUAUUGGCCAGAGACCGAUAGCGCACAAGUAGAGUGAUCGAAAGAUGAAAAGCACUUUGGAAAGAGAGUUAAACAGUACGUGAAAUUGUUGAAAGGGAAGCGCUUGCAACCAGACUUGCACUUGGUGUUCAUCAGGACUUUGUGUCCUGUGUACUUCAUCAAGUUCAGGCCAGCAUCAGUUUGAGUGGUUAGAUAAAGGCUUAGAGAAUGUGGCCCUUCUCGGAGGGUGUUAUAGCUCUAGGUGCAAUGUAGCCUACUCGGACUGAGGACCGCGCUUCGGC
Molecule: ribosomal RNA, 549 nt
Filed under: Rutstroemia conformata
Lineage: Eukaryota; Fungi; Ascomycota; Leotiomycetes; Helotiales; Rutstroemiaceae
Description: eukaryotic LSU rRNA
Rfam family: Eukaryotic large subunit ribosomal RNA
Source: RNAcentral